Molecule: ribosomal RNA, 454 nt
Filed under: uncultured bacterium
Lineage: Bacteria
Description: partial 16S ribosomal RNA
Rfam family: Bacterial small subunit ribosomal RNA
Source: RNAcentral
ACGGGAGGCAGCAGUGAGGAAUAUUGGUCAAUGGGCGGAAGCCUGAACCAGCCAAGUCGCGUGCGGGACGAAGGCCCUACGGGUCGUAAACCGCUUUUGUACGGGAAUAAAAAACUCCACGUGUGGGGUCUUGUAGGUACCGUAAGAAUAAGGAUCGGCUAACUCCGUGCCAGCAGCCGCGGUAAUACGGAGGAUCCGAGCGUUAUCCGGAUUUAUUGGGUUUAAAGGGUGCGUAGGCGGCCCCUUAAGUCGGCGGUGAAAUUUCCGGGCUCAACCCGGUCACUGCCGUCGAAACUGGGGGGCUUGAGUGCGUUUGGGGUGGCUGGAAUGUGCGGUGUAGCGGUGAAAUGCAUAGAUAUCGCACAGAACGCCGAUCGCGGAGGCAGGUCACCAAGCCGCAACUGACGCUGAGGCACGAAAGCGCGGGGAUCGAACAGGAUUAGAUACCCUGGUA